CGUAGGGUGCGAGCGUUAAUCGGAUACUGGGCGUAAAGCGUGCGCAGGCGGUUUUGUAAGACAGAUGUGAAAUCCCCGGGCUCAACCUGGGACCUGCAUUUGUGACUGCAAGGCUAGAGUACGGUAGAGGGGGAUGGAAUUCCGCGUGUAGCAGUGAAAUGCGUAGAUAUGCGGAGGAACACCGAUGGCGAAGGCAAUCCCCUGGACCUGUACUGACGCUCAUGCACGAAAGCGUGGGGAGCAAACAGGAUUAGAUACCCUGGUAGUCCACGCCCUAAACGAUGUCAACUGGUUGUUGGGUCUUUACUGACUCAGUAACGAAGCUAACGCGUGAAGUUGACCGCCUGGGGGAGUACGGCCGCAAGGUUG
This 369-nucleotide ribosomal RNA is filed under the name uncultured organism. Its description in RNAcentral is "bacterial SSU rRNA". It matches the Rfam family "Bacterial small subunit ribosomal RNA", at positions 526 to 896 of the family's 1533-position model. The record is from RNAcentral.